This 394-nucleotide ribosomal RNA is filed under the name uncultured bacterium. RNAcentral's name for it is "bacterial SSU rRNA". It matches the Rfam family "Bacterial small subunit ribosomal RNA", at positions 505 to 898 of the family's 1533-position model. The record is from RNAcentral.
GUGUCAGCAGCCGCGGUAAUACGUAGGUGGCGAGCGUUGUCCGGAAUUAUUGGGCGUAAAGCGCGCGUAGGCGGGAUAUUAAGUCUAUUCUAAAAGUGCGGGGCUCAACCCCGUGAUGGGAUGGAAACUAAUAUUCUUGAGUACCGGAGAGGAAAGCGGAAUUCCCAGUGUAGCGGUGAAAUGCGUAGAUAUUGGGAGGAACACCAGUGGCGAAGGCGGCUUUCUGGACGGUGUCUGACGCUGAGGCGCGAAAGCCAGGGGAGCGAACGGGAUUAGAUACCCCGGUAGUCCUGGCCGUAAACGAUGGGUACUAGGUGUAGGGGGUAUCGACCCCUCCUGUGCCGGAGUUAACGCAAUAAGUACCCCGCCUGGGGAGUACGGCCGCAAGGUUGAA